CAUAAUGUUUAGACUAGCUUUUCCCUUGUGUCAGUAAUCACUUUCAGUUUAUCAUUGUUCACUUUAAAAAGAUUUAUAGUUGUGUGCA
Thalassophryne amazonica is the source of this 88-nucleotide long non-coding RNA. RefSeq lists it as uncharacterized. The record is from RefSeq and is a predicted model, not a curated record. Lineage: Eukaryota; Metazoa; Chordata; Actinopteri; Batrachoidiformes; Batrachoididae. The transcript has 3 exons.